RNAcentral lists this ribosomal RNA (399 nucleotides) under Mesotaenium caldariorum. Its description in RNAcentral is "partial small subunit ribosomal RNA". It matches the Rfam family "Eukaryotic small subunit ribosomal RNA", at positions 30 to 432 of the family's 1831-position model. The record is from RNAcentral. Lineage: Eukaryota; Viridiplantae; Streptophyta; Zygnematophyceae; Zygnematales; Mesotaeniaceae.
GCUUGUCUCAAAGAUUAAGCCAUGCAUGUGAUCAGUGCAGUCCUUGUACGACGAAACUGCGAAUGGCUCAUUAAAACAGUUAUCGUUCAUUUGGUAAUCAUCUACUACAAGGAUAACUGUAGUAAUUCUAGAGCUAAUACGUGCACCAAGUCCCGACUCUUGAAGGGAUGUAUUUAUUAGAUUAAAGACCAAUGCGGGCUUGCCCGGUAUUGUGGUGAAUCAUAAUAACUCCUCGAAUCGCAUGGCCUUGCGCCGGCGAUGUUUCAUUCAAAUUUCUGCCCUAUCAAUUUGAUGGUAGGAUAGAGGCCUACCAUGGUGGUAACGGGUGACGGAGAAUUAGGGUUCGAUUCCGGAGAGGGAGCCUGAGAAACGGCUACCACAUCCAAGGAAGGCAGCAGG